This 655-nucleotide long non-coding RNA is filed under the name Sus scrofa (pig). RNAcentral describes it as "lncRNA (ENSSSCG00070016815.1)". The record is from RNAcentral. Lineage: Eukaryota; Metazoa; Chordata; Mammalia; Artiodactyla; Suidae.
CAGUGAGUGGAAUGAGGUGGGGGAGUGAGAGGAGAGAGUAGGAGCAGAGAUGGGAAGCCUGGCCAGUGGAGGCAUCCCAGGCCUGCUCUGAGGAGGUGCCAUAGCCCUGAGAGACCGAGGUCAGUGACCUAACACAGCAGACAGCUGAGCUCACAGGCCUCCGCGACCCGGAGGAGGAACCUCAAGGAGGAACCGGACCCCUCCUCGCAGAGCUGCUACCGCCACACAGAAGGGGCCCAUUCUGCUUACAGGUUUGCUUCCCAGCCUGCUUCAAAUCCCAUUGAGGCCCAAAGCCCCCUCACUGGACCUGCCGGUUUUAGGAUGCAUAUGUUUUUCCCCUUCCAAGCUCUUUUGUUGCAUUGUGUAUCACUUUCCUUACCUAGAUACAAGGCUGUCUCCAUGAUGGGAGACCUUCCUUUCUAGAAUUUCCAGGAAGUUCGGUUGCCUCCCACAUGUUCAAUUUCAUGUAAUUCAAACUGAAGUCUGAGACUCUUUUUCCUAAUUCAGGAAAAGUUGUGAGCUUGGCAACCCAAAUGGAAAGACUUUUUUUUUUUAAUGGUAGUGGAUUUGGGGGGUGUUUUUCUCAUUUUGGUUGUGUGCGUAUGUUUCAUAAAGUGCAUCGGAGAAUUAAACUCAAAAAGCAACUGCUUGGAGA